GGCCUCAAAUCAAGCAAGACUACCCGCUGAACUUAAGCAUAUCAGUAAGCGGAGGUAAAGAAACUAACAAGGAUUCCCCUAGUAACGGCGAGUGAAGCGGGAAUAGCUCAAAUUUAAAAUCUCGGCGUUUUACGUCGCGAAUUGUAGUCUAAAGAGGGUGAUCUAGGGUCGGCGAUUUGCUCAAGUCCCUUGGAAUAGGGCGCCAGAGAGGGUGAGAGCCCCGUGAAAGCAUGUCGCUGGCCUCAAGUGAGAACCUCUCAACGAGUCGAGUUGUUUGGGAAUGCAGCUCAAAGUGGGUGGUAAAUCUCAUCUAAGGCUAAAUACUGGCAAGAGACCGAUAGCGAACAAGUACCGUGAGGGAAAGAUGAAAAGCACCUUGAAAAGGGAGUUAAAUAGUGCGUGAAAUUGUUAAAAGGGAAACGA
RNAcentral lists this ribosomal RNA (423 nucleotides) under uncultured fungus. RNAcentral describes it as "eukaryotic LSU rRNA". It matches the Rfam family "Eukaryotic large subunit ribosomal RNA", at positions 1 to 422 of the family's 3401-position model. The record is from RNAcentral. Lineage: Eukaryota; Fungi.